UUUAGAGCAAAGAUUGAAUAUGUACCUUUAACUCUGCCCCUCUGUAUCAUUUCAGUAGACUUUUGUGUGUCAGCAUCCUGUACCUGAGCUACAGUACUCUUUACUACGACAGGCAAACUGCAGUUACCUGCAACGUUUGUGCACGUGUAGCACCUUCGCCUUUGGAGAGAUCAAAGAGUGGUGACUUCUGAGCAGCCCGUUUUACAGAUGGCCACAAGGCAAACGAGCCACUGGUACCAGGACUCGGGGCCGCUCCGUGAAAUAGCCUGUGCCUCCUCUGGGGCUCUUACAGAAGCAGUUUCCUCCAGUUUACAGGCUGCAAGCAAUCUGGUGGCCAUCAACACCUUGCUGAUAAACUGGAAAUCUUCGCCUUCUUCCAUCCUCACCUCUCAAACGACCCAUGAAAGAGUCUCGGAGAUCAAAGAAAUCCCCUUCCAUCCUUAUCCUUCUGACAGAGAGACUGAUGGGAUUUAGCACCCAUGUGGGAAUAUGAGCAUUGGCUUUAUCUUGAAUUUAUGUUAGCAAACUCAGCAACCUGGGGGCUCUUCACAGCACCUUAAGCAGACUGAAGUGGAGCUGAUGAAUAAUCAGUGAUGGAACAGCUGUUAUCCAGAGAUAACAGAGGACUUCAGGCUGCAGAUGUGCAUGGGGUCAAGGGAGACAAUGUUGUGCAUGAAAAAGUCAUACAAUGGAGUUCUGUGUAUUUUCUUCAGAGUUGAAGAACAAAGAGGCAACGACCUUUUGUCUGCUGCUGUCAUUCCCUGCUUCACCAUUAAGGUAGUUUUCUUCCCCCCCCCCGCCCAAUGGCAAGCAUUUUGAAAUAGACCCCUGUCAAUCAUGCCCUGAAAAAAUGAGCCCAUCCAUGAGCAGAAUCCUUUUUAGAAGUUUAAAUAGUCUGAAUGUCAAAACAUGUGGUGGUCAGGUUAACGCAGCGCUUUGGAUACCUGUGAUUUGGAUAUAUUUGUUUCAACGGCAGGUUCAUUUUUAAUCAGCGAGCAUGCCAGGUUUCAAAGGGCAAAUAAAAAAUACAAGAAAAACAAGACCAUACUUAUGGGUUCAGUAAAGAUCUUUCCAACCUGGUAUCCAGCCUCCAACAGCGGUCAACAGCGGUGUGUAAGAACAGGCUAGCAAAGAGAGACAAUUCUUUUUGUGUAUCCUGAGAGGUGGUAGGCUGUGAUUUAAGAUCUUUUGAGUUGAGGUUGUAUCUAUGUCUUUGUGUUGAAUUGUAUUUAUGGAGUAUUCUAAAUAGAUUUGUCUUGAUUUUUGAUUUUUUUUAUUUGUUUGGAGUUUUUUGGUGGGGUUUUUUGUUUGGGGUUUUUUUUUGUUGUUGUUGUUUUUUGUUAAUCAAUCCAGAGUUUCAUAAUUGGUACUUUAUAGGAAGAGGUACUUCCUCUGUUUGUUUUGAACUUGUCAUCAGAUCAUUUCAGGCGAAGCCCAUUAAUAUUUGUAUUGUGAGAAAUAGCGCAUAACCGUUCCCUUGAUGCCUCUCCAUAUCCGUCACAAUGUUGCCUGUUGCUCUUGUUCCUCAGUUAGAGUCUUCAUCUGCUUAAUCUCUCCUUCCUCAGAAAUCACGUCCUGCGUUUAAGCAUCUUUGCACAGUAUGUCACCUGGCUUCCAGCAAGCUUAGAGCAAGCGCUGUGCUGCACCGCCGUCCUGCAGCGCGUGCCGAGCUCGCCUCGGCCGUGCCGGGUCCCCGGCCUCCGGAGGGGAGCAGGCGGCUCCUCCCAGGCCCCGCUGCGGAGGUGCCCGAACCUCUGAGGCACUGCCAUGCCGGGGGAA
Molecule: non-coding RNA, 1779 nt
Organism: Phalacrocorax carbo (great cormorant)
Lineage: Eukaryota; Metazoa; Chordata; Aves; Suliformes; Phalacrocoracidae
Source: RefSeq, a predicted model, not a curated record